RNAcentral lists this ribosomal RNA (967 nucleotides) under Paraphanes sp. COL1080. Its description in RNAcentral is "SSU rRNA". It matches the Rfam family "Eukaryotic small subunit ribosomal RNA", at positions 31 to 942 of the family's 1831-position model. Lineage: Eukaryota; Metazoa; Arthropoda; Insecta; Coleoptera; Tenebrionidae. The record is from RNAcentral.
CUGUCUCAAAGAUUAGCCAUGCAUGUCUCAGUACAAGCCGAAUUAAGGUGAAACCGCGAAAGGCUCAUUAAAUCAGUUAUGGUUCCUUAGAUCGUACACACGUUUACUUGGAUAACUGUGGUAAUUCUAGAGCUAAUACAUGCAAACAGAGCUCCGACCGGAGACGGAAGGAGCGCUUUUAUUAGAUCAAAACCAAUCGGUGGCGAUUUCCGUCGUCAUCGUACAACUUGGUGACUCUGAAUAACUUUACGCUGAUCGCACGGUCUCGCACCGGCGACGCAUCUUUCAAAUGUCUGCCUUAUCAACUGUCGAUGGUAGGUUCUGCGCCUACCAUGGUUGUAACGGGUAACGGGGAAUCAGGGUUCGAUUCCGGAGAGGGAGCCUGAGAAACGGCUACCACAUCCAAGGAAGGCAGCAGGCGCGCAAAUUACCCACUCCCGGCACGGGGAGGUAGUGACGAAAAAUAACGAUACGGGACUCAUCCGAGGCCCCGUAAUCGGAAUGAGUACACUCUAAACCCUUUAACGAGGAUCAAUUGGAGGGCAAGUCUGGUGCCAGCAGCCGCGGUAAUUCCAGCUCCAAUAGCGUAUAUUAAAGUUGUUGCGGUUAAAAAGCUCGUAGUCGAAUCUGUGUCCCGCGCCGCCGGUUCAUCGUUCGCGGUGUUAACUGGCGUGUCGCGGGACGUCCUGCCGGUGGGCUUAGCUCGAGAGGGCGGCCCAACUCAAUCCCGCCGCGGUGCUCUUCAUUGAGUGUCGAGGUGGGCCGGCACGUUUACUUUGAACAAAUUAGAGUGCUUAAAGCAGGCUAAAACUUCGCCUGAAUACUGUGUGCAUGGAAUAAUGGAAUAGGACCUCGGUUCUAUUUUGUUGGUUUUCGGAACCCCGAGGUAAUGAUUAAUAGGAACGGAUGGGGGCAUUCGUAUUGCGACGUUAGAGGUGAAAUUCUUGGAUCGUCGCAAGACGGACAG